GGAUUGUGGCUUAGCAGUAGAGCGCUCCCCUAGCAUGGGCGAGGCCCUGGGUUCAAUCCCCAACACCA
This 68-nucleotide transfer RNA is filed under the name Marmota monax (woodchuck). Its description in RNAcentral is "tRNA.Ala". The record is from RNAcentral. Lineage: Eukaryota; Metazoa; Chordata; Mammalia; Rodentia; Sciuridae.